RNAcentral lists this long non-coding RNA (1288 nucleotides) under Mytilus galloprovincialis (Mediterranean mussel). The record is from RNAcentral. Lineage: Eukaryota; Metazoa; Mollusca; Bivalvia; Mytilida; Mytilidae.
UUAAACUCUUAAAAAUGGUAAAUAUAACAUCAAAGAAACACUUCAUAAGUUACAUAUGCAGUCAAAAGAAAAUACGACUAAUUCUCCCUCUCUAACGUGUUCAAUCUCUCAUACAUCACACUCACAAAAUGAAAUAAAGAUGAAACAAAUGAAAAGCUCCAGAAAUGUCAAUAUCAACCUAGGUUUUAUUUAUGACUAUUAUCUCACCGCUACUGACAAUCCGCUAUCAAAUCAGUCCAACUGUUAACAGAAAUAUAUGUAUUAAUAAUUAAAAAAAAAUCCUUCAGACAAAAUUGAAAUGAAUUCAUAAUUAAAGUCGGUGUUUUCCUUGUAACUGGGUAGCGUACGACGAGAUAAAUCUCACACGUACCGUCUGUAGUAUAAUUUAAAUAGUUCAAAACUGCAACACAUUCCCUGCUAAAUCCUAAAUACACAUAUAGGUCAAGCUGAUUAGUUAGUAAAGAUAACGCCAAUUACUUUAGCAAUUAUUUUCGAAGUACUGUAAGAUGAUAGGCCGGGACGUCACAUGACACAUGCUACAGUUUUCUGCACACAUAAACAUACACAGCUGUAUUUCUUGAUGUCAGACUGACCAACGCCAAAUUGCGGUUAAAAUUUAAUUGUUUGUGUAGAAAUUUCAAUCGCGUCCAACAGUCCAAAUGAAAAUUAAAGUUCAGAUGACAAUAAACAAUUGCGAAAUACUUUCGAUAUUAAUAUGCAUGUAUACAAUGUUGUUUAAAAACAGUUCCUUGAAUUUUACCGUUUUCUUUUGUUGACGAAAACUCCCAUAAAUUUAUGACUUCUGAAUAUUGUCUAAAUCCAAAUAAAAAACAUCCAAAUUUCACACAAAAUCCAAAAAUUGUUUCUAGUGUCAACUGCAUGGUACUGCUAUACUCCACGAGAACGAAAAUUCCAGAAGAUUUCAACGUGGUCAAAAUUUAAUAAUGGCGCCGCCAGCCUCGUGGUCUAGACUUUAAAAAAGUUUGUUCUUCAUCUUUGGGGACAGCUCACAUAAAAACACUUAAAAAAGGGGUCGUUUUGAAGUCCUCCACCAUAUUACGUACAUGGGGGGACAUAUAUACUUGCCUCCCCAUGCCGCUAAAGUUAUAUUUGCUUAAGAGCAAUAAAAACACAUCUAUUUCCAUAGCACGUUUAUUUCAAAGAGACAGAUAACAUCACAUGACAAAUAUGCAUCAUUAUCAUACAAAGGGACACAACUCUCACGACUAAACUACAAAACACAUACGACCAUACAAUACAUAUACAUAACACAUGAACUUGGGUAGAA